UGUCGUGAGGCGGAAUCUGAAGGAAGCCGGAUAUAGUGGUUUAAAAGAACCGCUAUGGGCAAAACCUCGGUCUGACGAAAAAAACUGCAUAUAAGGCGUCGUGAUGUGGACGAGUUUGCUAAAAAAACGAAGUCCGAUACUGCCCGAGCUUUGCGGCGUAAAUGCAGCAGAUAUAUGAGGAGAAGGUG
This 188-nucleotide non-coding RNA is filed under the name bovine gut metagenome. The record is from RNAcentral.